RNAcentral lists this long non-coding RNA (3290 nucleotides) under Linum usitatissimum (flax). RNAcentral describes it as "long non-coding RNA (LUSI_LNC005362)". The record is from RNAcentral. Lineage: Eukaryota; Viridiplantae; Streptophyta; Magnoliopsida; Malpighiales; Linaceae.
CUAUGUCAUGGCCAUAUUAUGUUACAUUAUGACCGCGUUAUCUUACUAUCCUUACUAAUACAAACACGUUAUGUUACUGAUACGAUGGCGUUAUGACCAUCUUAGGUAUCGAAAUAGAAUGUUGAGAAACCACAUGUGAAGAGAAAGCCUAUCGAGCGGUCACAAAUAAAUCGAAAAAGUAUUCUUCUCAUGCAUAGAGCUAGUAUUAUGCCUAUGUGGAGCUCAUCACAUCAACGUCAGUGGCCGGCUUCAAUCGUCCCACCCAUGUGGACCCAUUUUGCCGGAAUUGUAGGCGGUUGGCAAACCCCGAUGCCGUCCAAUCGAGUGCUCACAGAUCUGGUUCGAACGCACCGCCCAGCUAUUCUUAUUCUUUUGGAAACCGAUUGAUAUUAAAUAUACCAUAAUAUUUGACACUUAAUUUGCUAAUCUUAAUGCCAUAAUAUCAAUCGCAAUCGGAAGUUUUGAUGAAAAUUGGUGAUAUUACCCUUAAUUUCGUAAAUUCAACCCUUGGACCUUCAUGGUUCAUUUUUAUGUUGUUUCUAGUGUUUUAAUGACAUUUCAAUUCACACAAUUAUAAAGAGAUGAAUUUCAAAUCCAAUGAUACAAACCGAAGGUAAAUCAGAUUCUGAACGAAGAUGUUACGGCUGUUUUACGAUCCACCGCUCAACCGAUUGCCGGAAGGACAACUGGGCAUGGGUGAGGACGUCAGCACAUGUAGAUAUGUACAUCAUCAAGGACAACUACAUCAUGCAUACAACUGAUGGAGUAGGUGCUGGAGGCUUUAAUACGCCAUUUUUUGAGCCUAUAUAACAACAACUCUUCUCCACUUCGAAAACACAUCAUACACACACCAUAUCAGACCUCCAAGCUUAGUUACUCUGUCCCAAGGCGUCCUCCUUCAGCCCGGGAACGUGCCACUUCAAACCGCACACAAUUCAGAGCCCUGGAGGUGAAUAAAUCCAUUCCGGAACUUCCGUUCGGCAUUGCUGAAUUUUACGACGACAGAGAGUUCUUGAAUCUCGGAGCUCCAGGUUCAUGUAUUAUCUCCAUUUCUGUGUUGUUAACAUGAUUAUCAUGUGUAACUAAGUUCCACCUCUGUUCGGAUUUGAUGAAACCUUGAUUAUGUGUUAAUUCGGCAUUAUUUCGAUUGGGUUUAUGCAAAACUAUAGUUAAUUUCGUUCUUAUCUUUCUCUUGCAUUUAGCUACUUCUAUAUCUUGUAAUUGCCGAAUUCUAGUUGUAAGAUUAUCGUUGAGAUUCGGUUUAGAUACAAAAGUGCGACUAAAUUGUUGGGAAUAUGCAGUUUUAAUCAAACCAACCCGAGUCCAAGCUAUUGAUCAAACCAACAGCCAAACUAAACAGAACGACACCGUCUCAUGGUUACCGUUAAUCUAAACAGAAUAUGACCGUUGGAGCAAGAGGGAGAGAUGAUGAUCGCCUUCUGAUUUCCCUCCUGAUUUUGCUCAACCAACGAUCUUCCGGAGGUCGUGGGGUGAACCACGGUGAUGGAAUGGAGACUGCUACUCCAUAUAAAACCAGAGUGCUCAUCACCCCAGUAGAGCAGUAGAUUAACACAGAAACCAUUGAUCAUUAGAGUUGAGAUAGUGAUUACCUUGAGAGCAUUUUUCCAGCACCUUUGAUUGUUGUGGUGUAAGGGAAAUAGCUUUAAGGGCAGUGGCUCCUCCACGAUCACUUGCUUUACACGUUACUUGACUCUCUUCUCUUCCUGCUAAAGUUGUUUGAUUCUGUCCCUAACAUAAAUACCCGAAUGCCAAGGGUUAGAAUCGUCGUCUCCGCUACACUCGAGAGAGGGGCGGAACAUCGAUCCGCUUUGGAAUUGAUUUUCUGAUUAAUCAUUAUUCUAUUUUUAAUGCACUUGGUAAUUAACUCUAAUUAGUCUCAAGAGAGCGGUUAGAUUAUUAUCGAGUAGGGAAUCUAUGAUACGAAAGUGCUUAAAUUCUAGUUUUGGAUUAAACGCGGUAAUUGCUUUUUCACGUAUAGUUAAGCAUAACACUUUCGGAAUAAUUUACUUAAUUAUCAUUGUUUCUUGGUGAAUUCAUUUCCGGACAGGUUGCUAGCAUCCAUUAAACUCGAUUCCAACUCUCGUGCUUCCAUACCCGCUAUUCCAACGACUCGACUUUUAUUCUCUCACUUUCCGGAGUAAUAUUCCGAACGGAACCUCGUGAAUACGAUCUCGAUUUUACCGAGUUUAUCUUUGAACUCGCCUUCGGGUGGGAUUAGAAACUCUGGACACUAUGCAGAAGAUGGAGACAGUACACGCAUCUAUAGGCUUCGAGGCUUGUUUUGUGGUGGAAGUUGUAGGGCAUAUUGGUCUAUCUACACUAAUCCCUCCUACAUGCACUACACUAAUACCCCACCCGAAUGAAGAAGACAUAGACAUUUAGCCAGGAUCAGACACAAAAGAACUCCAUUCCACCUGCUGCACAUAAAAAAAGUGUCAUACGCACAACAUGUAACCAAUUGUCGGAGCUAACCAUAAUAAAAACCUGUGAAAUGUCUCUAGACUCUUCCUGAAAAUUUCAAUAAUUUCUUUCACGCCAAAUGGACCACAAGACGAAUGGAUAAAUAGCCUUUUUAGACUGUUAAAGCGGGAUAGGCAGUUCAUCCAUUUCCAUGCCACGUUCAUGAAACUCAAUCAAACACUAUCAAUCUCGAUGACAAUUGAUCAAGAAAGUAGAGAUUUGAUAAAUUGUAAAUGAAGAAGUAAACUAGUGAAGAGGAAUCGAAUUUCUUCUUCUUCCUUUACUUCACGUUGCCGAAAUGAGAACAAAUAGGAUAUAAAAAUCCUAUCUUAAAUAUGGGCUAUAGCUUAUAACUACGGCCCAAUUAUUUAGUCAAUUAAUUUCAGCCCAAGACCAAUGUUCAGUUCUACGGAUUAAUUUACGAUAAUUACGAGAAUUAAGAACACAAUGUUUUAACGUGGUAUCGGAAACUCAGCCUACUCCAUGCCCGAUGAAUGAUUAUCCCAAGAGUUAUAUUAUUAUCACAAAUUAAAUAACGUACCUUCAUAAACUAACAAAGUGACAACAACCUUUGCACACACGCAAAGUGACAAUCCUCCGAAAUCGGAGUGACAACUUCUACCUGUGAUCUCUCGAGAACAAGAGUAACGAUACAGAUUGUCACUCACCAAAAAUCUUAUCGACUAACCAGAUCACUCCACUCACACUCUUUUCUCUCAAUCACAGUCUAUCGACUUUUCACUCAAAUACGAUAGUGACAAUGAAGCUUUAAAGAAUAGAGCACUUGCUUGUGAAUUGGUGAUUUGCUC